GGCUACACAUGCAAGUCGAGCGGCAGCGGGAAAGUAGCUUGCUACUUUUGCCGGCGAGCGGCGGACGGGUGAGUAAUGCCUGGGAAUCUGCCCAGUCGAGGGGGAUAACUAUUGGAAACGAUAGCUAAUACCGCAUACGCCCUACGGGGGAAAGCAGGGGACCUUCGGGCCUUGCGCGAUUGGAUGAACCCAGGUGGGAUUAGCUAGUUGGUGAGGUAAUGGCUCACCAAGGCGACGAUCCCUAGCUGGUCUGAGAGGAUGAUCAGCCACACUGGAACUGAGACACGGUCCAGACUCCUACGGGAGGCAGCAGUGGGGAAUAUUGCACAAUGGGGGAAACCCUGAUGCAGCCAUGCCGCGUGUGUGAAGAAGGCCUUCGGGUUGUAAAGCACUUUCAGCGAGGAGGAAAGGUUGAUGCCUAAUACGUAUCAACUGUGACGUUACUCGCAGAAGAAGCACCGGCUAACUCCGUGCCAGCAGCCGCGGUAAUACGGAGGGUGCAAGCGU
RNAcentral lists this ribosomal RNA (507 nucleotides) under Aeromonas hydrophila. RNAcentral's name for it is "bacterial SSU rRNA". It matches the Rfam family "Bacterial small subunit ribosomal RNA", at positions 45 to 541 of the family's 1533-position model. Lineage: Bacteria; Pseudomonadati; Pseudomonadota; Gammaproteobacteria; Aeromonadales; Aeromonadaceae. The record is from RNAcentral.